RNAcentral lists this long non-coding RNA (7509 nucleotides) under Sus scrofa (pig). RNAcentral's name for it is "lncRNA (ENSSSCG00055011833.1)". The record is from RNAcentral. Lineage: Eukaryota; Metazoa; Chordata; Mammalia; Artiodactyla; Suidae.
UUUUUUUUUUUUUGCUGAGAAAAACAGUGUUCAUUGUGGGAGAUGCACAAGCCUCAUAUGUGCAGAUCUUUCCUUUUCUCUUCUUCCCUCCCUCUCCUUCUACCUUUCCUCUUUCCCUUGUUUCCUCCUUCCCUCUCUUCUUUGUUUCCUUUUUCUCUUUCUGUCACUUGUUUUCUAAGCUCAUAUCGAAUUAUCACUUCUGUAUUUACUAGAUAUUAAACACUGUGCCUUCUUCAUAAUUACGCAUUGAUUGGAUAAGUCCAAGUACAUAUGAAAGAAAAAAGCUCUACAGUGAUAUUUUUUCCUUAUUGAACUUUACAUAGACGUAUGUGAACUGAUCCUAAUGAAAAAACAAUGAUUCCAAAAGUUAGUUAUUUAGGGCAGCAAUAUUGCAGCCAAGAUGAAUUGAAGUAAAUAAUACUGCUACCCUUAUGUAUCACCAACUUUUGUUUCUAUGUUGACUGAACUUUUGAAGUCUGGUCUUCACGUUUUAUCAUGGCAUUUCUGAGUCUAGCAGAAAAAAAGCCUUUCCUUUCCUGUUCACAUAUAUCAUCUUCAGAAUUUCAUCUAGUGUCAUAAUCGUAGGCAUUUAAUCUAGUGUCAUAAACUCUGAUAUUCUGAGAAUUCUAAAGGAAGUGAAUGCUCAUGGAGCCGAGUGUAGCCAGAGUGUGAGAUGUGCAGGUCCCUGUAUAUAAGGUGUUCAUCUGGAGCUCUGAUGCUACAGGACACACAUCAUUCCAUGUGUAGCCAUGACAGGCAGAUGCUAAAGUUUCCUUCCCAAAGCACUUUCCAGUUUCAUAUGAAUCUCCAGAAAACUCCAAUCUUAGGUGCAUUCUUUCAGGAAAGAUAAAAGAGGCCCUUUUAUCUUUUUGGUUUGCAACCAGAAAAUAUUAUAUUCGUUUGCAGCAAGGUGGCAAUGAGUCCUAUCCUCUGCAAAAUGUACUGUAACACUAUCAAGUAAGGGCUAAGACAAGGCACACAAUUGUAAAUUGUUUCCAGGUAAUAUUUUGCAGAGUAUCUCAGUAAAGCCUUUGGUUUUGCAUCAGCUGACUCAGAAUCACUUCUGAAAUAUACAUCUUCCCUUUCAUCUUCCUCUCAUAUUGAAAAUGCUGGAAAAAAAUAAGCUUGUCCUAUAUUUGUUUGAUAGGUCUCUGACAUUAACUUUCUCUGGUUCUUACUAAGGAAAACAUGAAAUGCAGUUGUUUCUAUGUGCUGAAAUAUGCAUGUACUGAACACCCAACAUAGGGGUAUUAAAAUGUAUUUUAGAUUUAUAGCCUUCAUUUAGAAAUGUAUUACUUAAAACUUCACUGUGAAGAACUUUUUAGGAUUCCUCAGCCAUGUGUGUGCUCCAUUAUCUAUAAGACUAUUGAAUCUUUCCAUUAAACAUGCUCUCCCAUUUAUUAUUUUUUACUAUUCCUUCCUUCAUUGUUUAUAGAUUUGGAGCUAUCAAAUGGCAGCAACUAUGCUGUGUCCAAAGAGAGAACCGAACUAAAUCAGAAAAAGUAUUUGCUUCCCCCCUACCCUCCGAAUCUGACAGUCUGGUGAGAGAGAUGCAAUCCAAUGUUUCAUAACCAGAUAUAAAGCCACAUUCACUGUUGGAAGAAGUAUGUGGCUCAAAGAGAAGUGUAUGAAAAGGGUUCCACCUGGUCAAGAAGAUCAAGAUGGUGUCUCCAGAUAAGUGCAUUUUGAAUUGGAGAGAUUCCAGGAAGGGAAGAGUUAAAUAGGUGGUGAGGGAGGGAAAAGUAUUUUAGGCAUAAGGAACAGUAUUUAUUCAAUUUCAGAAGUUGUUUCUGAGGUAACAUGGAGGCAACAUCUGUGUUUGUCGUACAUUUUUUCUUUUUAAAAUUUAGAUACAAUUGACAUAUAAAGUAUUAGUUUUAUAUGUAUAACAUAAUGAUGUAUAUAUAAAAUAUUAUAGCAAAAUGAUCACCACAAUAAGUUUAUCUACCCAUCACUACAUAUAGUUACAAUUUCUUUUUCUUGUGAGAACUUUUAAGAUCUACUCUCUUAAUGGCUUUCAAAUAUAUAAUACAGUAUUGAUAACUAUAGUCACCAUGCCAUAUAUGACAUCUCCUGCAAGUUAGUCCUACAUUUAAAGCUCAGUUUCUAUUCCAUCCAACUGAGUGGCCUUAGAAAAUUUUCAUUUUUUUAUCCAAGGAUAAAAUGUACCUCUAUGGCCUGUUUUAAGAUUGUAAUUAAGCUUAAAUUACAGAGGAUUCAUUAAAUUAAAAAUAUAUUCAUUUACUAAAAAUUUUGUUUCAUCUUUGCCUUUCUUUUGGUCUUCUUUCUUACUUUAUUUCUACCCACUUUUCUAGACAUAAGCCUCUACCAUUAGCCAUUAGGAAAAAAUGGGAUAAGAAAUCAAGAAGUAUGCCAUCCUGCCAUAGGAUAUUGAAGAAAGAUUUUGAAGGCAAGCCUCUCAAUUUUUCAACAUCUGUUUUGUUCUAUUCAUUUACAAUCAUCUUUUUCUUUUUCCUAGCACUUUAGAGUAUUCAACCCAGUAGCCUUUGAAAAGCAUGAUUUAUCUUGUUUAUCUUAUUAUAGUUGUUGUCCUUUAAAGAUAUAAGGUUGUGGUCUAUUGGUUGUAUCAAGGAUUCCAGUUCUUCACUCUUCUCUGUUGUGAUGCCUUUGGUCACAUGACUUUGCAGGCUUUCUUACUGUAGGGGUGGAGUUAUUGCCCUAUCCCUUGGAUCUUAGCUGGACUUGGAACUUGCUUUGGCUAAUGAGAUGUCAGCAAAGAUAGCACAGCAGAGGCUGGGAAAAGCCUUUGUGUAUUUCUGCCUGCCUUUGCUCUUCUGCAACUGUCAUGAGAACAGGCCCAGGCUAGCCUCUUGGAAGGUGAGGCAGGUGGAGGGAAGCCAGAUCAUCCCACUUGUCCUGGCUGAUGCCAUCCUCAUCGGCAACAGCUGGGAGAACCUGAGCCAGAAGUGUCCGGCCAAGCCCAGUCCAGCCCACCAGAGUCAAUGACCUGGAGACUUAGGAGCAAAACAUGCUUGUUGUUUUAUGCCACUGGAGUUUUGGGUGGCAUACUGUGCAGCAUUAUUGUGGCUGUAGAAAACUGAACUAGGAGGAAAUUCUUGUUUGUAACUUUAUAAUUUCUUCAUAAUUUCCUUCAAGGGUCCAUAUUUGAUUUUCCAGUGAAAGUUAAUAAGAAAACUAUAAAGUAGGUAUUUGGCUCCUAGUGGCUUUUUAGGAGGCUUUAUAUUCUGUGGAGUAUGGUGUCCCUAUAGUUAUUCAUUGAAAGUUUAGGGGGAAAACUCCCUUUUUUUUCUAUAAAUAUAGUAAAUACACAGUUUGUUCCAAUAAAAUGUGUUUUCUUUAUGAAGAAAUUCAGAUAACCACGUGAGUAUGGUCUAAAAAUGAAAAUGCCAUGUGAAAAAAGCAUGGCCAUUCCCUUUAUUAUGACAAGUACACAAAACUAUGCUGGUUUGAAGUUUUCUUGUAUGUAAACUCAUGUUGGUUUUAUUAGUUGUAAAGAAAGUUUUUCAUAUGCCUACUCUUUAGAAAUGUGCCUGCCUUCUUAGGCAUGGAAAUGUGACUACAAUGCCAAGUUUGACAGCUGAUUCUGGAUAACCACUUAAUUCCAUGUUUCUGAAAGGAAGUGACUCUAAAAGCAAACAAAUGGGAAUGCCUUGAGUUAUAAAAAUUAGGGUGCUGUGCACAAGAUCACAUAGUGUGAUGUACAUUUUUAACUGGUUUAUAUUAAAGGAAGUUGUGAGGUUACCAAGAGAACUUUAGAUGUAAUUUGGAUUGUUUUUCCUAGCUACUCAUGUGUAUCUUGCCUUCUCUCUAUCCAAAGUUCACAAAGUGGGAAAACUGCCUAGCCAGUAAAGCUCCCCAGUCUUGGGGGAAAAGGUUGCAGAAUGGGAGUAUGGUAGAAAGAAGCCAUGGGCAUGAGAGAGGCCCUGACCUCUGAGGAAUGCUUUAUUCUAAUACAGUUCAUACUAUGGAGGUCAUAGCAACUGAUUGUAUAAAAGUAACCUGUUUUUCAGAUUAAUUCCUUUCAUCCAGCACACCGUCUCUGUGGAUGUACAGCUAUUUACAAUGUCUUCUGUUAGUCAAAGAUUUACUUUCAUCUUUACAUAAUAUUGAAAUGAUUAUUUCAUGAUUAUCCACAUAUUGGAAUACUGUACAUUCAGAAUGAUACCUUUAAAGAAAAUUUUAAUGACUUGAAAAAAAUGCUUUAUGAUGUAGAUGGAAAAGGCCAGUUUUAAAACUGCACAUGUGAUAUAGUCAUAAUUAUAUGCAGGGGCAAUUUAUCUAUUUGUGAUAUGAAAUAUACCUGAAAGAAGUAAUCCAGAGUGCUUACCUCCAUGGGAUGGAUUUAUGAUAGUUUUAUUAAUUUUCUUCACACUUUUUUUAUUUUACAGUUUUAAAAAGUGACUGUAUAAGAAUUGAUGACUUGAUGAUUAGAGAAAUUAACAUAUUAAUGAAAAUAAAUUGGUUUAUAAACACUUUGGGGACGAAGAAUGUGUCUUAUUUUUUGACAAAUCCAAGCACUCCAGCACCCAGUGCUUGGAAGGCUGUAGGGUAAAAAUGAAACAUCCUUGAUGAAUGAAAAGGAGAUCUUAGAUAAGGGCUCAGUUGGCUGAAUAGGGCUUAGGUUUAUAAAGCAGAACACCAAGGCUAUUUUAAGGUGCAGUUAUAAGAAAGCAGCGAUUCUGUUUCUUUAAUAGGCAUUGCCAUCCUUAUCCUAGAAUACCAGGAGCUACCUGAGAUCUGGGAACUAUUUUUUCAUCAGUUGACAACCUUUGAAUUAUUUCUUAAUUGUUUGUGUUUUGUUUUUUUCUGUUGUUAUUCAGGUAUAAUUAUUUCUGAAUGAAGCCUUUGCUUAGAGUAAUAGUAAUCUAAUGAGUAUGUGACCUUAGAGAGACUACAGAUGAAAAAAGAAGCAUUUUUUUCCUGUUUUGAUGAAAACCUCAUUCUUUUCCUGCGAGAAGUCUUCCUUGAUUGCUGCAGCUACUAUUCUGCUCAACUCUCUUCACUAUAUACUGUCUUUCAGCCAAAAGCAAUACAAAACACAAACUUGGUCUUCCAUUCCUUCAUCUUGGUAGUGUUCCCCAGGCAGGAACCCUUGCAUAGAGCUUUAUUUACUUUUCCACUACAGAGUGAAAGCUCUGUGGUGGACAGACAUGCACACAGUUGCUAACUAUGCACUGGGCACUGUUCUAAGCUCUCAGCAUUGAAGAUUUGGAGUUCUCUUUUGGUGCAGCAGGUUAAGUAUCCAGCAUUGUCACUGCAGCAGCUCAGGUCAGGUUAUGGUUCAGGUUCUAUCCCUGGCCCAGGAACUUCCACUUUCUGUGAGUGUGGAAAAAAAAAAAAAAGAGUCUGGAGUUCCCACGGUGGCUUAGUGGGUUAAGGACCCAGUGUAGUCUCUGUGAAGAUGCAGGUUCAAUCCCUGGCCUCACUCAGUGAGUUAAGGAUCCAGUGUUGCUGUAAGCUGUGACAUAGGUCAAAGGUGUGGCUCAAAUCUGCUGUUGCUGUGGCUGUGGUGUAGGCCUGCAGCUGCAAGUUUAAUUUGACACCUAGUCUGGGAGCUUCCAUAUGCUGCAGGUGCAGCUGUAAGGGGAAAAAAAUAAAUAAAAAAGAUUGGCUUAUUCAGUCUUUAAGCCAUUUUGAGUUUAUUUUUGUGCAUGGUGUGAAGGUGUGUUCUAGUUUCAUUGAUUUACAUGCAGCUGUCCAGUUUUCCCAGAGUCACUUACUGAAGAGACUGUUUUUUUCCUAUUUUAUAUUCUUGCCUUCUUUGUCAAAGAUUAAUUAACCGUAGGUGACUGGGUUUAUUUCUGGGUUCUCUAUUCUGUUCCAUUGGUCUACAUGUCUGUUUUCAUACCAGUACCACACUGUCUUGACUACUGUAGCUUUGUAAUAUUGUCUAAAGUCUGAGAGAGUUAUGCCUCCUGUUUUAUUUUUUUUACCCCCUUAAGGAUUUCUUUGGCACUUCUGGGUCUUUUAUGGCUCCAUAUACAUUUUUGGAUUGCUUGUUCUAGUUCUGUAUAAAGUAUCAUGGGUUAUUUGAUAAGAAUGGCCUUAAAUCUGUAGAUUGCUUCAAGUAGUAUGGCCAUUUUAAUGAUACUAACUAUUACAAACCAGGAGCAUGGAAUAUCUUUCUAUUUUUUUGAAUCCUCAUUAAUUUCCUUGAUUAAUAUUUUAUAGUUCUCAGCAUAUAAGUCUUUCAGGAACAAACCUCCUUGGUCAGGUUUAUUCCUAGGUAUUAAAUUCUUUUGGGUGCAAUCUUAAAAGGUAUUGUAUUUUUAAAAUUCCUUUUAUAGUAUUUCACUGUUAGUAUAUAGAAAUAUAACUGAUUUCUCAAUGUUAGUCUUGUAUCCUGCCACUUUUCUGAUUUCGUUGAUCAGUUCAAAUAGCUUUUGGGUGGAGUCCUUAGGGUUUUCAAUGUAUAGUAUCAUGUAUGUGUAUAAAGUGACAAUCAACCAUACAAAUGUUUUCUUAGGUCAGUCUACCAAGGCAAUAGAAAUAUAAACAAAAAUAUACCAAUGGGACCUAAUCAAACUUCCAAGAUUUUGCACACCAAAGGAACCAUGGUGGUGGUGGGGAGACAAUGUAGAGAAUGGGAGAAAAUAGUUGCAAAUGAUGCCACAAGGGUUUAAUCUCCAAAAUAUACAAACAAUUCAUACAACUCAACAGCAAAAAAACCAAGUAACUCAAUUGGGAAAUGGGCAGAAGACCUCAAUAGAUACUUCUCCAAAGAAGACCUACAGAUGGCCAAUAGGCCUAUGAAAAAAUGCUCAACACGACUAAUUAUUAGAGAAAUGCAAAUCAAAGCUAUGAUGAGGUACCACCUCACACUUGUCGGAAUGGCUGUCAUUCAUAAGUCUACAAAUAGCAAAUGCUGGAGAGGGUGUGGAGAAAAGGGAACCUUCCCACGCUGUUGGUGAGAAUAUAAAUUUGUUCAACCACUAUGGAAAACAUUAUGGAGGUAUCCCAGAAAAUUAGAUAUAAACCUACCAUAUGAUCCAGCAAUCCCACUUCUGGGCAUAUAUCCAGACAUAAUUUUCAUUAAAAAAAUAUACACACACUCCUAUUGAAUAAGCAAUGAGGUCCUGCUGUAUAGCACAGGGAACCGUAUACAAUCACCUGUAAUGGAACAUGAUGUAAGAUUAUAUGAGAAAAAGAGUGCAUAUAUAUAGUAUAACUGGGUCACUUUACUGUAUAGCAGAAAUUGACAGAACAUUGUAAAUCAACUAUUAAAAAAAACAAAAACAGAGACUGAAAAGGGAGAAGAGUCAUAAUAUUUGACAAGCUUGAGAGAAAAGUUUGAAAACUUCAUCCUACAUUAAAUGGUAAGUCACAAGCAAAUGAGAUUUAGUUAUUGUUUGAAUUACUCAAGGGAACAUGAGUGGCUGUACCUUUGGGAUGAGUGUAUGUAUGUGGGUAUGUUAAAACACCUUCUCUUGUGUUGUAGGGAGAGGUAAACAUUUCUGUCCAUUUUCUUAACUUUGCAUUUUAGUUUAGUUCCUAUUCUCUGUGUGCAUCAGUUUUCUAAUGCAUGUU